This 253-nucleotide ribosomal RNA is filed under the name uncultured bacterium. RNAcentral's name for it is "partial 16S ribosomal RNA". It matches the Rfam family "Bacterial small subunit ribosomal RNA", at positions 524 to 776 of the family's 1533-position model. The record is from RNAcentral.
UACGUAGGGUCCGAGCGUUGUCCGGAAUUAUUGGGCGUAAAGAGCUCGUAGGCGGUUUGUCGCGUCUGCUGUGAAAUCCCGAGGCUCAACCUCGGGCCUGCAGUGGGUACGGGCAGACUGGAGUGCGGUAGGGGAGAAUGGAAUUCCUGGUGUAGCGGUGGAAUGCGCAGAUAUCAGGAGGAACACCGAUGGCGAAGGCGGUCUGCUGGGCAGUUGCUGACACUGAGGCGCGACAGCGUGGGGAGCAAACAGG